AAUAAACCAAUUUUUUAUUUUUUACCUUCAAUUUUUGAUUUUUCGUCUUAUUCAAAUUUUUUUUACGAUUGAUAUUUUUGUUUUUAUUUAGAUGAUAAAUCAUAAAUAGUACUUUACGUGUGACUAAUUUUUUUCUAAUUUUCUGAAAAUUUUUCAAAUAAGACGGAUGGUCAACCGUUAGACACGCAAAUCAGAGAAUUCGUUUUUU
RNAcentral lists this microRNA precursor (208 nucleotides) under Oryza brachyantha (malo sina). RNAcentral's name for it is "MIR812 microRNA precursor family". It matches the Rfam family "MIR812 microRNA precursor family". Lineage: Eukaryota; Viridiplantae; Streptophyta; Magnoliopsida; Poales; Poaceae. The record is from Rfam by way of RNAcentral.